GCACCAGCCUUUGGAUGCCUGCAGCCUCUGCAGGGAGAGGGGCAACCAGACCCAGGGAAGUCCCCGUGGGGCUAGGCUCCCCUCCUCUCUCCAGGGCAGGUGCCGGGGACUACUGGGUCUUUCAAGUCCUGGAGAGGCUCCUAGACGGGGGAGGAGGCCCGCCUCCCGCCCCCUUCGCCUCCCCCACGCUGGAGCAACCUUGGGAUUUUCUACCCAAAGGGAGGCCACGGCUGAUUCACCCGGGGGCUUUUGGGGGGACAUUCCUGCUGUAGGAAGGCCUCCUCCCCGAAGGCCUGUAGGCGGGGGCUCUUCCCAGUGGGGGGCUCCGGGGUUCUGCCCCAGGAACGGUCUCUUGGGUGUGGGGGGAGGGAGGAAAGCUGUCUCCUCUUUGGGAUGGGCCCUCUCCCCGAAACAUCUCGGCAGCGGUUAACUCCCACGCCGCACUUGUUAUGGGUGCUCAUGCCCCUGCUCCAGUCCCAUGGCCCUGUGUGAGGUGUGUGUCUCCAUCACAGGUAUACAAGUGUUAUUUCAGCCCAUGUGCUGGCGUGCGUGCAACAGGUUCACAGCGGGCCAGACUUUCAGACAUGACUGAACUCAGGAGCGCCGCGCCUGGAAACGCUUUGCUUAUCCGUCCCAGAGACUUGGGUAUUAGAAUUAAAAAGGCUAAUCCCAUUUCCAAGGCACCCCCUUCUAUACCCAAGGGAGGCACUUACAGAGGUUCAGACGCCCAGGAACAUCUACCUGGUGGUGCUGAGCAAAGGGAAGCCCCAGAUGCUAAAUGAUCACAUAGCCAGCUGGGCCCAAAUGAAGAGGGUGUCUUCCUUGGAGCAGUUAGGGAAGAGGACAACUGCCCAAACCCCUGGCACAUCCCUGCUGGCAAAGGUACACUGCUGUGCUGAUGGUGGUCAUCGGGCAGCGGAAAAGGAAUCCUGACCUCAGUCCUGCCAUCUGGCUGGCUUUUGGCCUGUGGCCACAUGGACCAGACUGUUGGUAGGUUCAGUGUCACUUCUGUUCAUGCAAGGUCUAAGCCAGCCGUGGGCAAACUACGGCCCGCGGGCUGGAUCCGGCCUGUUUGAAAUGAAUAAAACUAAAAAAAAAAAAAAAAAAAGACCAUACCCUUUUAUGUAAUGAUGUUUACUUUGAAUUUAUAUUAGUUCACACAAACACUCCAUCCAUACUUUUGUUCCGGCCCUCCGGUCCAGUUUAAGAACCCAUUGUGGCCCUCGAGUCAAAAAGUUUGCCCACCCCUGGUCUAAGCCCUGGGUAUUCUAAGAACAUGGUGCCCACAAGUUCAAGAAGGAAACCAGAGGGAAAGGCAUUAAUGGUACUAAGACAUUUAUUACAUCAUAAAAAGUCCAUUGUUGUCGUUUUUCCAUAUGUACAUGUUCCUAUGGGCAGUCCCCCUGUCCAGCGCCAUCUGCCCACCCUCAAUGCCAAUCAGCUCUCCAAACUCACCAACAAAUUAAUAAAAGAGGAAGAACUGAAGGAGGUGGCCCAGGGCUGAUGGGAGUGGGGAUGGGAGAGGGAAACAAAGUGCAGAGUGGUUAGGUUGGCUCUCAAUGCCUAACCAUGGGCAGGAGGGACACAAGGGCAGGCACUGCAGGGCUGGCACAGUGAUGCCUCCCCAGAGCUACCAGGCUGCAGGUGAUACCUGAGUGUGCUCCCAGGUUGGACCCCCAAGAAUGGAGAGCAGAGGAGGAAGGUCCUGCAGCCUGACUGUGGGUCCCAGGAAGGGCUAGAAAAAUUCUGUUUUUUAGGUCCCCAUACAAGUAGCAGCGAUAGCAGCUCGAGUUGGGCCUGAAGAGUGUGGCCCCUGGGACAGCUGGAAGGGGGACCAGGGACAGGUCCUAAUCUCUGAGGGGCCUAUUUUAGUUAACCUCAGAGGUGGGCAUGGGGUCUGUGGGGCGAGGUGUGGCCAGGAGGGGCACUGGUGAGGUGGCUUCAAUGAGAGCAGGGUUGAGGAUGAUGGGCAGAGUCAUGGGUGGCACACCCACCUGCAGUGGGGAGGCCAAGGGCUGCAGGAUCAGUGGGGGCUGAGCCAGGGGCAGAGGCCCAUCUGGGGUAGGGCUCAGCCUGCUGGGGCUAGAUGCCACUGGUGAUCCAGGGGAGCUGCUGUUGCCAGGUCGGGGGCCCUCGGACUUCUCAAAGUCUAUAGUGAGAGUCAAAGUCAAAGGUGGCUGCAGUCAAACUCCCUCAUACCCAUCUUUGCUCCUCCCCAUUCCUGUGAGCAAAAUGACCCCUCCCAGGCUAAAUAGUUGGGAGUCUCCCUCUGAAACUCAUUCCAUUGCCCAGCUACCUUAUCUCUGUCCUCUACCUCCUUUGCUAUACUUCUAGUUAGGUUAAUUUUGGUCUGGUCUUUAUUAGAAUCCCUGAAGGGCAACCUUUGCAUAUUCUCCAAGUCCCAGACCCAGCUUUCUCUUCCCAAGCCUGAAAAUCUCAAGCAGCUAGCUCUAUUAUAGCUUAUUUGAUCCUGCCAUUUCUGAUAGGAGAGCAGGCAAACAGGAUUCUCAGGGUCUCCCCUACCCCUGGCUCACAGCCCAUGCUUAGCAGCAAUCUCAAGCUACCCUGGGCCUGCUCUUAGGCCUCCUCUUUCCUGCUCAACACCCAGCAGGCUGGCCCAGAGGGACUCACCACAGGCUCCCAAUUCAGAGGGCAUCUCUGGGAGAAGUGGAUGGCCAGGUGUUCUGGUGUCCCCAGCAGUAGGUGUCAGGUGGGCUGAAGGUAGAGGUUUUUGGGCAUGAGGCUCCAUAGGCAUGGGGUCUGAGGUGGACAAAGAAUCCAGAUGGCAGCUCUUAGAAUUUCAUGCCCUGACUACCCACCAGUCUUCCCACCCACCUACAGCACAGAGAACUACUGAGCUCCAGACUUUCUGAUGAAGUUGGGCUGAGCCCCCUACCCUGCAUGACAGUCUGCUUGAAGAGCUCAUCUCGUAGGUGGGGCAGAAAACAGUCGAUGCGCUCCCAGGUAAUCUCCCAGAGGGCUGAGGGGCUGCCUCCUCGGGCAUCUGCACUGUGGAAAAUCUCCGCUGUGUCCAUCACCAGAAGCAUGUUCUUCAGAGACUCAGGGAUGGCCUCUGACUACAGGUGGCAGUGGGACCAUGAGAAUAGAAAAGAGGGCAUGGGAGAAUAUGGUAAGGAGGAAGCCACCAAGGGGGGAAACAGUAAGUCUUCCCAGCAGGUGGGAGAGGAAGCAGGCAGCAGGAGUCAGGCUGAGGUAGAACAUACCAGUAAGUCACUGGAGCCUGCAUGCAUGUACUUGUCCAUGAAGUCCAAGAUGGUCAGCCAGAGGGCCGCAAAGGUAGAGAGUGACAGCAGUGGAGACAGGUGCUGCAGGAAGACCUAUGGCCCGCCAGCCCCUUUCAGCCGAGAGUAGGGUAGGGGCCUUCUAUACCCUUCUCCAAGGCUGGGAGGCAAGCCUGUCCUAUCUUGCAUGGGAAUCUUAGGUUAGAAAUGCCUCUGAAUUCCAGAAAUGUCCCAGGUCCCUAAGUCCCACUGAGUCUCCAUAGCUUGGGUCCUGAGCACCUACAUUGCAUCUCUAGGUCCUACCAGAAGCCUUGGCUUCCCUCCUUGUGAAGAGGCAGGAGAGUGGGUGGGUGAGAGUGGGAGCAAUACCUUAGAGAGCAGUGUGGAAGCCCUCAUCCGGGUCUCUUCCAUCCCACCCACAUCUGCAGGGCUGAUGUUCUCCAAGAGCUUGGUCAGUAGAGGAAACAGCACCUGGUAGGUAAACAGCCAACAUCUCCUAGCAAGGUCAGUGGGCAGCCUUGUCCCAAGGAAGCCAGGGGCUGGGGUGGAUGAGUAUUGAGCAGAAGGGGAAGGUCUGAUGCAGACUGAGGAUUGACAUUGGGCUCUUCAGGCUGCCUUGUUCUCCUUAUCUUAAGGAUUUGAACUUUACCUUAAGACUAGAGGGAAGUCUGCCUGGCUGGUGUGGCUCAGCGGCUGAGCAUCAAUCCAGGAACCAAGAGGUUGCCAGUUUGAUUCCCAGUUAGGGCACAUGCCCAGGGUGUGGGCUUGAUCCCCAGGAGGAGUGUGUGUAGGAGGCAGCUGAUCGAUGUUUCUAUCUUUCUAUCCCUCUCCCUUCCCCUCU
This is a long non-coding RNA of Myotis daubentonii (Daubenton's bat), 4083 nucleotides long. RefSeq lists it as uncharacterized. The transcript has 4 exons. The record is from RefSeq and is a predicted model, not a curated record. NCBI's taxonomy places the organism in Eukaryota, Metazoa, Chordata, Mammalia, Chiroptera, Vespertilionidae.